RNAcentral lists this ribosomal RNA (301 nucleotides) under uncultured bacterium. RNAcentral's name for it is "partial 16S ribosomal RNA". It matches the Rfam family "Bacterial small subunit ribosomal RNA", at positions 509 to 807 of the family's 1533-position model. The record is from RNAcentral.
CAGUCGCCGCGGGAAUACGUAGGGUGCAAGCGUUAAUCGGAAUUACUGGGCGUAAAGCGUGCGCAGGCGGUUAUGUAAGUCAGAUGUGAAAUCCCCGGGCUCAACCUGGGAACUGCAUUUGAGACUGUAUGGCUAGAGUGUGUCAGAGGGGGGUAGAAUUCCACGUGUAGCAGCGAAAUGCGUAGAUAUGUGGAGGAAUACCGAUGGCGAAGACAAUCCCCUGGACCUGUACUGACGCUCAUGCACGAAAGCGUGGGGAGCAAACAGGAUUAGAUACCCCUGUAGUCCCUGUCUCUUAUAC